GUGAGGGUUAAGUGGUGUCCCCUCCCCCCCCCAAAAAAAUUCACAUGUUGGAGUCUUAUUUUCCAGGACCUCAGAAUGUAUUGGGGCUUUGGAAGAAGUAAUAAAUUAAAAUGAGGUUCUCGGGGUGGUGGUGUAAUCUGUGAAGACACAGAGGGAUGGUGGCCGCCCACCUCCAGCCACAGGGAGAGGCCGGGGACAGCUUCUCCUGUCACAGCCCUUGGGAGGAACCGACCCUGCUGACUUCAUGACCUCAGGCUUCCAGACUCCAGAAUGGUGAGAUAAUAAGCAUCAAUUCUAGAAGCAGCCCAGCCUGUCAUCCUUUGCGGGGACGGCCCAGCAGACCAAUGCAGAGUGUGAGAGCUUUACUGGGGGCAACAUGUGUGAGGAGUACGAGGCAAAAGCAGAGCUGCCCAGCAUCUCUGUCCCCAUGUGGUCCUUCUUUAUUGUCUGCGGCACAUGUGAGCCCAGCCCCGCUGCCUGCCUUCUCUCAGUUUCUGGGGCAUCCACCAACCGGAGUAGACCCUGCGUGCUGGCCGUCCUCUGCGGGGGUGUCACAUGGCCAGACCACCAGGCAUGGGGGCUCGUCUAGGGCAGAUCUGCACAAGUCUAGAGUGAGGCUAAUGAGUGACCUUUCCUGAUUCUAGUCCUGAGGCCCUGAAAUUGGACUUUACAAAUAUUUAUCGCUUCCAGAAUUGUUUCUCCAGAAUAGCCUCAUGUUCUAUUCACUUUUAUUGUAUAAUAAACUACCCUGAAACACAGUGGCUUAACAUAGGUGCCAUUUCAUUGUAGGUACAGCCUGUGGGUCAGGAAGCUAAGCAGGCUCUGCUGGGCAAGUCUUCUGUGUCUUGGGUGCUGUUGGAGCUCUUCCAUGGUGUUCAUGGGACUGGGUCAGCCUCACUUAGGCCUAGGGCACUUCAGUGGGUUCGCUGGAUGGCGGUGGUGGGGGCGGGCAGACUGGUGAUCCAAGCGACCAGGGGAGGUUUCCCCAGGGCUGCCAUCUCAGGUGGCCAAUUCCUGAGGUCCCGUGUCCCAGGAAGCCAUCUUCCUCACCUUGGAAGUCCCCUAAAAUCACCUCAGCCACUCUCUUGGCCAAGCCAAUCACCACUGGAAGACAUGAGGAAGUACAUGCCUGUACCCACAUUGAUGCCUCUGAGUAUCCAGAGGAAUCCCUAGACACUGGGUCCUGGAGACUGCAACUCCAGAUGACCCUGGCCCUCUGGACCUCACUGUCACAUGGGAGAGCAUUGGACUUUUGUUCUGCUGGACACACUGGAUGUUUGAGUCUUCUUUGAGCAGUUUGGCUUGCUCUCGAAUCCACUAGGCAAGAAACAUGAGGAGCUGGUGUUUUAGGGAGGCUUGGCAGGGCUACAAAGAGUGAACUGGAAGAGAAUGGGAACACAUGCAGGGGGAGAUGCUGUCUGGCUUUCCCACCUUGCGGCUUGGGGUCCCAUCCAAGUGUCUGUCACUUGACAUUUGAGUCUAGGAUUGUCACUCAGCUCAUCAAAGUCUGUACUUUCUCCUGUUGGUUAGGGGGAAGUCGGAUGUUCCAAUCCAUGGAAUAGGAUGAGAAGACAGCCCCUGCAAAUACCAAAAGUACUAUUUUGAGAAUUUUGGCUUUUUAUCUCCAUAGUUACUGUUAAUUAGCUUCAGCUUUCUGGAGACUGUCUCUUGGCAUCCAGAAAUUAAGGAGAGAGAGCUUCUGACUGAUGCCACAGAGUUGAAAUGCAGCCAAGCCCUGCUGUCCAGGAGGGGCUCCCCAGGGUGCUGGGCCAGCUGCUCUGCCUGCAUGCGGAUGACUAGAUGGCGAGGAGGCCUAACCCCGUCACAAGCCAUAGGAACUGUACAACUCAGUGAGAGAAACUUCUGUACAGCAGAGCGGCUUAAAGCAUCCGGAAGAAAACCUGGAACCCAAGAGCAAA
RNAcentral lists this long non-coding RNA (1919 nucleotides) under Canis lupus familiaris (dog). Its description in RNAcentral is "lncRNA (ENSCAFG00000050675.1)". Lineage: Eukaryota; Metazoa; Chordata; Mammalia; Carnivora; Canidae. The record is from RNAcentral.